GUGACAGUAGCUUAGUGGUAGAGCAUCUGCUUCGCACGCAGGGAGACAUUGGUUCGAUUCCCGGCUGCCAUG
RNAcentral lists this transfer RNA (72 nucleotides) under Toxocara canis (dog roundworm). It matches the Rfam family "tRNA". Rfam says of the family: Transfer RNA (tRNA) molecules are approximately 80 nucleotides in length. Their secondary structure includes four short double-helical elements and three loops (D, anti-codon, and T loops). The record is from Rfam by way of RNAcentral. Lineage: Eukaryota; Metazoa; Nematoda; Chromadorea; Rhabditida; Toxocaridae.